CCUGGGUGUGCUCAUUUCUUGCUGAGGUUCCCUUCUCUGCAAAGACCUGCCUGACUCACUGCAUGACUUGGAAACACCCUCAGCUUAUUUAAGUGGAAGUUCACUGCCCUGGUGGGCACCUGGGUUUUUUAACUGACCUCUGAGACACACCUGAGCCAAGCAUGGCACAAAACAUUCCAUGGAAAACCACAGCUGCAGCCCUGCUAUCAAAAACUGGAGCUCACAGCAGCACAAUGAUGUUUCCUUUUGUUACAAUCAUUCCAGUUCCAGAGCUGGGAAUGCUGGGGGAGCCUGGAGAUCCCCAGGAGGGGCCCCUGAGUGCACCCCCUG
Oenanthe melanoleuca is the source of this 330-nucleotide long non-coding RNA. RefSeq lists it as uncharacterized. Lineage: Eukaryota; Metazoa; Chordata; Aves; Passeriformes; Muscicapidae. The transcript has 3 exons. The record is from RefSeq and is a predicted model, not a curated record.